AUCUCAGCCUAAAUUCAUUCGAUUUUUACCUAGAGAUGAGGAAUGUGUUAAAUCACUCUACUCCACAAGGAACCAAACCAAACAGCAUCAGCACCAGGCUGAGUCGCGGAAAGGAUCUGUCAGACCGCUCCACUGGCAUCGACUCAGCUCGGGAGCUACGUUCAAAGAAGGAGGACAUUUAAGGUGAAAGGGUUGCAGGCAGAGGGGCCUGGAGCAGCAGGAGGCCACCUCCCAAAGGCUCCACUCCCAGGGGCCAACAGAGAGACCACAUCCAGAAUUGAACCAGGGAUACGCAGACACCAACGGAGAAGACAUGAGCGUCAACCUCCUCCACGGAGCAGCACGGCUUCUCUACUGACAUCCAUGAACUAGACUACAACUCUCUAAGUUAAUCAAAUUUACUAAGUUAGUUAUCACCGACAUCACUGUUCCAUGUCAAAUCCAUGGAUUCAUGAGUCAAAGAAACAGCAGUGAACAGCCUUCAGGCUACGGUUUGGGCCAUUCCUCUGCCAGCGUAUUCCAGCCAAAGUCUGUUUUCCUAUCAGACUACUCACUGCAAGGCACAGAAGUGAGCGCGGGAUCUAAGGCCACACCGCAGGGUCUGAACUCACUUAACUGGCCCAACACUGCACAAGAUACUUAAUCCUCCUGAACCUCAGUUUCUUCAUCUGCGUACGGGGGAUAUGAACCCCCACAUGCUGGACUGCUCUGAGAAUUGAGUUAAUGCGUGUAAAACAUGAGAGCUGCUCUGGCACCCACCAGGCGCUCACCGGGCGCCAGCACCACCAGUGCAUACCUCGACCGUGUGUGGGCGCACAGGCCUCCGUUCCUUUUUACUCCGACCGAUGCUUCUAAGGAAGUCUUCGACCGCUUUUUCUGUCUGAGGCAUCUGCUGAGGAGUCGCAUUCACUGAACACCUGUUUGAAAAAUUAUGUAUACAUAAAACCACUGUUAGAAAAAACAGUUUUAGUAAUUCAUCACAUUUUGUAUAACUCAAUAAUGUUGUUUUUAUAGAAAAUACUGUUCAGAGUGUUAAACAGCAGCCAAAUGUGGAAAUGCCACGGCCGCCUCCCUGCUCUUCAGUGCUUCAGGUUAUCAAGAGAUUUCCGCACAGUUCAAUGUGGCAGCUAAUGAAGCCGUCCAUACGCGGAGCCUGUGACUCUAAACUCUAGUUCUUCUGAAGAGCAAAGAAAAUACAGAGACUAUUAAGAUCUGCUAACCGUGCCUUCGGAAUUACACUAUCAAAACACUGACAACUUUUAAAAUUACUGUCCAGAAGUCAUCAAUUUGAAAAUGUGAACUGGUUGUUAAAGCAGAACAUUAUAAACUGCAAAAAAAUACCAUGCUCUCAAAGUUACAUGAAAAUAGAACUCUUCCAAAUUCCACAGAAUUGCAAAUACUACUAUCAUAUAAAAGCUACUUGAACUCUACAGUAUAUUGACAGAGUGUAUAUUUUUUCCUUUCAGCUGUAAAUCCUGAACUUAUUCUAGUUAAAGUAACAGCAGGUACCAUUAUAUUAAUACUAACUAUAUCCCAGGCAUGUAUGCUGCCUUGCAGAUAUUCUUUCUUUUAUUCCUUACGAUAAACCUGCAAAGGAAGGUUUUAUGGAGGAGGAAGCAGAAGACGCAAGUGGGUCAGCUGCCCAGGACCGCCUGGGAGCGAGUGUGAGUGCUGACCCGGCGGCACCAGAAGCCAGGCCUGCCUGAGCCCAAUGCCAAGAGACCCUGAUCGCCAGGCUUCACCUCUGGCCACCCACAGACCGCCCUGUAGAAUCUGCCAGGGAUUCUCAGGACAUGACUGGGGAAAGGCAUCAGGACUCUGUGUGAAGAAGGACAAGUGACUUCAGCAAACAUUUUCUUGUUAAGUACUGAUGAAUACAUCAAUGUCACUGACAAUAAGAUGCUGAAAAUAAACAAUCAUUUUUAAACUUUAUUCAUGCUCACACAUCUGAGGGCAUAAGGCCAACUGAAGGUAUAGGACUGAGCUGCCAGAUGUUUCCUCAAAGCAUCACAUAAUUUUAUAAGAAACUGCACUUUUACUCUGGUCUUCAGCAAGCUCACCUUUACAGAUACCUCAGUUACGGACCAUGUGCUUUUGGAAGCAAUAUAACUACUUGCCCUCAAUCUAUUUGCACUUCUAGCACAAAAUUAGCCUGCUUUCUUCCCCAUCUCCUACAACUUUUAAUAGGCUUAAAAUAUUUUCUUAGUUUGUUAGAACACUUGACAUUUACAAUAAAUUCUAUAACCUUU
Molecule: long non-coding RNA, 2249 nt
Filed under: Homo sapiens (human)
Lineage: Eukaryota; Metazoa; Chordata; Mammalia; Primates; Hominidae
Description: HSALNT0157613
Source: RNAcentral